CCCCCUCUUUACUUCCGCUGUCCGCCCGGGAAUUACGAGCAUCAGCUUAAAACCCAAAGGACUUGGCGGUGCUUAAGAUCCACCUAGAGGAGCCUGUUCUGUAACCGAUAACCCCCGUUAAACCUCACCCUUCUUUGUUCCUACCGCCUAUAUACCACCGUCGUCAGCCUACCCUAUGAUGGAUUAAUAGUAAGCAUAAUUAGCACAGCCCAAAACGCCAGGUCGAGGUGUAGCAUAUGGAAGGGGAAGAAAUGGGCUACAUUCUCUGCCCCCAGAGCACACGAAAUUUGUAUUGAAACCUACACUAGAAGGAGGAUUUAGCAGUAAGCGGGGAAUAGAGCGCCCCCCUGAAACCGGCCCUAAAGCGCGCACACACCGCCCGU
Molecule: ribosomal RNA, 383 nt
Filed under: Dellichthys morelandi
Lineage: Eukaryota; Metazoa; Chordata; Actinopteri; Blenniiformes; Gobiesocidae
Description: partial 12S ribosomal RNA
Rfam family: Bacterial small subunit ribosomal RNA
Source: RNAcentral